Molecule: long non-coding RNA, 1729 nt
Filed under: Olea europaea subsp. europaea
Lineage: Eukaryota; Viridiplantae; Streptophyta; Magnoliopsida; Lamiales; Oleaceae
Source: RNAcentral
UUAUUAUUUAACUAAAUUUGAUUUUAAUUAAAUAAACCUGCUAAUUAAAUUAAUUGAUUAAUUUGACUAAUUAUUUUUUUUUUUUAUCCAUUUAUCUAAAUGAAUUUAGAUGACCAUAAUUGCUAGAUUCUUGAAACAUGUUUGCAUAUAAUAUUAGAUAUUAUAUAGGAUAACACUUAUAUGAUGAAUGUUUAUUUAGUACAUGACUAUGGACUCGACCAUCUGGAUGUAUUGAAUGGUUGAUUUUAUCCUUAUCGUUUUAUGGGCCCAUAGCUAUUAAUAUGUUUUGGACUUGGGAGUCCGUUGUUGUUGUUGUUGUUAUUAUUAUUAUAGGCAUCCGAGUCCAAUUUCAUUUAGGUUUGCGUGCGAACUAGAAUAGGAUUUAGGUUAUAGCUUGACUAAUUGGAGACGUAAGUAAAAAGAGGAAACCAUGAAAAUUGUGCGUUGAUACUGAUUCAAUGCAAUACCCCUAAGAAUCGACCAACUAGUAUUCCUUUUGGCCGGAGAGGACUAAAUAGAAUCAGUCUCUAAUAAUCCAUAUAAUUUGUUUACAUGCCCCUCGAGUAGGAAGAUCAUCAAGAGUCCUUGGCAAGUGUCCUACACCUACACCUACACUUACAAAAUCAAUAAUAAAAGCCGAACAUGUAAAUGAACUUCAUGUAGUAAGAAAAUUAACUAUUAACAAAUAAACACCCUACCUUCGGAACCCUCUACUUCAUCAUCUGAUGCCACAUCAUUUUCUUCAACCCUAAGAACAUUUUCACUUUUGCUGUGCCUAUCACAUGAGUUUCCCAGUUUUUUAAAUAUUUGCUCUUUAGAUAAUAUUUGCGACACAUUUAAUUCAAAAAGAGAAAAGAACCUAUAUAAUGAAUUCAUAUUUUCAUGCAUGAGUGAUUCUUUUUAAUUGUGAUAAGUCCACAACAACGUUUCUCAACAAUUAUUAAAUGAAUAACACAGCAGAACAUGAAAACUCGAAAUUAUAAUCAAUAUGCAAGUAAAAAUCAACAUGAAAACUCAAAAUUCAGCUUCUCUAGUGAGUUUUAUAUGACAAGAACAGGUAUCAGUAGACUAAGAUAAAGAGAAACUUGACAACUUGAGCAACAACUAUCAUGCUUAUUUUAAGUCAGAAUUAAAAACUCACUAAGAAAUUAGCAUAGUACCUGUGCCUUGUUUACAACCUAGGUGACGAUGAACAGCACUCAUAGGACGAGAUGGUGGUUGAUCAAGAUUGCAGGUAGAGGUACCAUAUUUUGUACCUGGGUUAGGAAGGGUCCUUGUCGGUGUCUCAAGGUGAGUAGGAGGACGAUCAGCAUCGAUCAAAGGAGCAGAGCAAGUGGGAAUAUUUUCAGUGGUUGACCGAGUUCCACUUUUGUGAUGCACAAGUAGAGAAGAGUUGGGGAUUGAGAUGUCUGAGACAACGAAGGUACUAACCUAUUGGCUUGCAAUGAAUGUCGCAACGAAAGAGGAGGCACAAACCUAGUAGUAGAUGAGCCAUUAGAUCGUGACGUCUGAAGUAGUGGAGGCACAUCUGUGCUCGUCAUUCGAGACAUCUUAGGUGCUGGUGUUACAUGAGAGUUGUUGGAACGUUUCUUAUGAGAAAUCAGAUUCAUCUGCACAAAGACCAAGUAAUAGUUAGAAUAUAAACAUUACACUAUUCAAAGCAAUGUCUACAAUAAAAGGGCAACAAUUCAAAACUUUAAUUAGAUAGAUAAGGCUCGGUAGAUGUAAU